GUCUUCCUACACUGGAAUGUAAGCUCUUUCAAGACGGAUCUUGAUUUCUUGUUUUCUUUUGGGAUCCACAGUGCAUAGACCAGUGCCAGCAAAUAGUAGAUAUCUGUGGAAUGAAUGAAUGAAUGAACCCAGCCCUGGAUGGGCAUUACCUAACGGUGUCCUUUACUUAUUAACACGUGUGUGUUUUGUCUACACAGCCUGAUCAUAAGUCAUGCUAGGGCAAGGACUGCCCUCCUGGGAAAUUUGAAGACCUUCUGGCCAAUGAAUGAGGUCAGGAAUGAUGGCUUCUUCUCUGGUGAUUUAGGCUGGAGAAAUUGCUCCAUUUGGGGGCUGUUUCACAUGCAAUUGUGCCCAAGGGUGGAAGGAUGGAAAAGAUGAGUGUUCAAGGCCCUUCUGGUCAUAGUAGAACAUGCGGAAGGGUGUUGGUGUGAUGAUGCAACAGGUCGGCAAUGACUACUCAGUUACACCUUUAUUUAUUCAUAAACUCAUGAUUUUGCCAAGAAAGUCAGCAGCUUAGGAUACAUUUAUUCAUUGGCAGACACUGCUGGUUGUGAAAUUGACAGCUGUUUCCCCACUCUUCUUCUUUACCCAAAGAACCUACCUUCUACUUUUACAGCCCAAAGUUCUAGACACUUGCUCUCUGAGUCUCCCUUAUGAUUUGUGGUGAUCAUUCGUGAGCCCCAUUCCUGGCCAAUGACACAUGAAGGCAAGUUUGCCAGGGACUCCUAAAAACAUUUUUUUUAAUUUAAAAGAAUUACUUUUUAAACUUUUUUGCUCUUAUGAACACUUUCCUAACACAGUAAUUUUAAUGUUAUUUUUUAAAUUGUCCAUUUUUAAAAAAAUUAUUUGAUUUAUUUUAAAGGUGUAAUUUCUCAGAAUAAUUUUACUCUCUGAUGAAAGGAGGGAAUAAGGUAACGAGAUGUUCCCUCCCUCCCUUCUCACAUUGGACCUUGUGUGAGGACGGGACACUGGAGCUGCUGUGGCCACCUGGACCAAGAGAAUCAAGGAGGAGCUGACCCAAACCCUGAUGCUGCAAAGCCAUUGGCCAGCGCUGGCAUUGUCCGCCUCUGGAGUCCUUGUUACAAGAGAAUUAUAAACUCCUGUUGUUGAGACUUUGAGACCCCAUGGCGGAGACGGAGGGUCCUUCCACUGCAGCACAAAGUGGGGCACUUGCAGUCACAUCGCCUGUGUUCACGGUGGAGCGGAUCUACUGCCCUUGUAGGGCUGAUGCAUUGCAAGGGGCUGAACCUCCUGCACUGUCUCCUCUUGGUGUAAAUAAACACUGUGCCACCUGAGCCUGAUGUGUGUGUUGUCUGUCCUCAGUGACCUUGAGUCAUGCACUGGUCUCUUCCCUGGGAGGCACGUAUCUGCCUUUUGACCUUGGCUGCACAGCCUGGACACCCAGCGAAUGGUGAAACAAUCUCCGUGUUUUGCACCUUUUACUGUGGCAGCCAGUGCCUCCAAUUCCUGAGCUUUGCUGGGACUUUGUAGGGCAUUAGCUGUUUCUCCUCAGCAGAGUCAUGCAUGCUUAACCACUGGGAUAUGUUCUGAGAAAUGCAUCGUUAGGUGACUUCAUUGUUGUGUGAACAUCGUAGAAUGCACUCACACAAACCUAAAUGGUAUAGCUUGCUACACACCUACGCUAUAUGGUGUAGUCUAUUGCUCCUAGACUACAAAGCUGUACAGCAUGUUACUGUACUGAACGUUGUAGGCAGUUGUAACACAAAUGGUAAGAAUUUGUGGUAUCUAAACAAACUUAAAUAUAGAAAACAGUAAAAUCACAGUAUAAAAGAUAGAAAAUGGAAUGUGUAUAUAGGGCACUUACCAUGAAUGGAGCUUGCAGGACUGGAGGCUGCUGUGGGUGAGUGGGGAGUGAACAUGAAUGGCUAGGACAUUACUGUAUACUUUUAUACAACUGGCAGCACAGUAGGUUCGUUUACACCAGCCAGCGUCACCAUAAUCUCGCGAGUAAUGUGUCACACUACAAUGUUACAAUGGCUAUGACCUCCUUAGGUGAUAGAACACUUUCAGCUCCAUUAUACAGAAUCUUCCGGGACCACGCUGUACAUACGGCCCAUUGUUGACCGUUAUGUGGGGCGUGACUGGCUUCCCUCCUGGAGACAUUCACCACUGUACUUCUCCCAGUGUUGGUCUCAUUGUUCUUGGCUCUGCCAUGUCAACUGCCAUCC
RNAcentral lists this long non-coding RNA (2189 nucleotides) under Homo sapiens (human). RNAcentral's name for it is "HSALNT0018210". Lineage: Eukaryota; Metazoa; Chordata; Mammalia; Primates; Hominidae. The record is from RNAcentral.